RNAcentral lists this ribosomal RNA (489 nucleotides) under uncultured bacterium. Its description in RNAcentral is "bacterial SSU rRNA". It matches the Rfam family "Bacterial small subunit ribosomal RNA", at positions 23 to 507 of the family's 1533-position model. The record is from RNAcentral.
CUCAGGAUGAACGCUAGCGGCAGGCUUAAUACAUGCAAGUCGUGGGGCAGCAUGAGUAGCAAUACUUGAUGGCGACCGGCAAACGGGUGAGGAACACGUACACAACCUUCCUUCAAGCGGGGAAUAGCCCAGAGAAAUUUGGAUUAAUACCCCAUAAUAUAUUUGAUAAGGCAUCUUAUUAAUAUUAAAGCUUCGGCACUUGAUGAUGGGUGUGCGGCUGAUUAGAUAGUUGGCGGGGUAACGGCCCACCAAGUCUACGAUCAGUAGCUGAUGUGAGAGCAUGAUCAGCCACACGGGCACUGAGACACGGGCCCGACUCCUACGGGAGGCAGCAGUAAGGAAUAUUGGACAAUGGACGAAAGUCUGAUCCAGCCAUGCCGCGUGAAGGAUUAAGGUCCUCUGGAUUGUAAACUUCUUUUAUAUGGGACGAAAAAGGGCAUUCUUGUUCACUUGACGGUACCAUAUGAAUAAGCACCGGCUAACUCCGUG